RNAcentral lists this ribosomal RNA (254 nucleotides) under uncultured bacterium. RNAcentral describes it as "partial 16S ribosomal RNA". It matches the Rfam family "Bacterial small subunit ribosomal RNA", at positions 524 to 776 of the family's 1533-position model. The record is from RNAcentral.
UACGAAGGGGGCUAGCGUUGUUCGGAUUUACUGGGCGUAAAGCGCACGUAGGCGGGUCGUUAAGUCGGGGGUGAAAUCCUGGAGCUCAACUCCAGAACUGCCUUUGAUACUGAGGAGCUCGAGUCCGGAAGAGGUGAGUGGAACUGCGAGUGUAGAGGUGAAAUUCGUAGAUAUUCGCAAGAACACCAGUGGCGAAGGCGGCUCACUGGUCCGGUACUGACGCUGAGGUGCGAAAGCGUGGGGGAGCAAACAGG